This is a long non-coding RNA of Acanthopagrus latus (yellowfin seabream), 2810 nucleotides long. RefSeq lists it as uncharacterized. The record is from RefSeq and is a predicted model, not a curated record. The transcript has 6 exons. NCBI's taxonomy places the organism in Eukaryota, Metazoa, Chordata, Actinopteri, Spariformes, Sparidae.
ACAGAAGACCGGAAAAAAAAACUAAAAUGACGGGACCAUGACAACAUGUUUGUUGUCAUCCAUCUUUCUUGGACUCAAGAACAAGAUAUCACACCUGAAACCGUCUCUGCAGUUGACGAGACCGUAACAGAUUCAAAAGAUGUUUCUUUAAAAUAAAACACAUCUCAGUCGUGAUGUGUUGAAACGUUGAACUGUUGAAAAACUCGUGUAUGUCCUGCGUUGCAUGCCAUCAGCAGAUUCACACUUUUGGAGCCACACCAGCGGAUGGGAUGACGUUUUAAGUGUAUGUGGUGUUUAUCUGAUGGAUGACCCACAAUCAAGCAAAGCUGGCGUCGCCGUGCAGUGUAAUUGAGAGGAUAGUGUCACAGUGCUCUCCUGCCAACAGCGAGCAUACUGUUGAUUUGUUAGUGGAGCUCGCUGACAGGCAAAAUAGUUGGUGUUCUGCCACACUUGGCUCUUGGCAACAGACUCGCUGUCAUUUGCAUUUAAGGCUGUUUUUUUUUUUUCUGCGGAGACAAGUUCAUUUGUGAAACUCUGUAAACAGAAUGACAGUGAGUGUGUGUGGCGGCGUCGGGACUGUGUGUUUGCUCACAGAGGUGCAGAAGGUUGGUGUCCAUCAGGGAGGAGACUGAUCUGUAUUCAUGUGACACAAACACAGGUGUCCACAGCUGAUGGCAUUUUUUUUUUUUAAGUGAAACCCAACUUAUUACAAGACCUUGACGCUUCUCCUCGUAGCCACUCAAGACUUUUUUUCUGUUUUGACAUCCGCUCGGAAGAGUUCAAGGUUUGUUGAGACCAAUCAAGAAGCAGCUGUUAAAGCAUGAAAACAUCAUGUUGAGGCUGGAAAUCGUCCUGACGUCUCGUCAAAAACCUCCUGCAGUUUCACAACCUGAAAAAUCUAACAAUGUAGGACACGAGGAUAAAUACCAAUCAAUACUGCCAUUCGUAGAGCUUCACUGCCGGACGCAGCAUCCAGGAAGCAAGUUCUGCUUCACUGCAGACGCUGUGGAUAAGAUUGUCCCAGCUGAGCUGUGGCGCACCUGGAACUUUUCUGAAGGCAAAACUAACUGAAGCAAGAAAAGAAUAACACCUUCAACACUAAGAAACAGGACUGCCCUUUUUGUCCUUUCCCCUCGCCAGGCUGCCAUUCUCCACGGCUGGAUCAUCACAGACUCGCUAACAAACAGCGGAUAGAAGUUGAGCAGUCUGACGCCACGGUCACGGACGUGGAUCAGAAAAUGGACGUGGCGCCCAUCAAACUGAGCCAGAUGUGAGUGGCCACAUUUUCCCCUCAGCUCCCGACGGGCCUCAGACUAAAGUCUGCCUUGUGUUUUCUUCUGGCCUGGCAGCUUGUCAUCGGAGGCCGACAUCAAAGUGGAUAAAUCCUGAACAUAAAGGAGGCGGAUGAUCCGGUCAACGAGGGCUUUUUCCCACCAAAAUUAGCCUCUGUCCCAACACGGUCGAUUUGUCGCCCGACCUCCUCUGGGGUGGUAUCGCCUUUUUAAAUUCAAGGCACAGCUAUUUUUUUUUUUUUUUUUUUGUAUAUUUGCGAAUGCAGCUCUGAAUAAAACAUGUCACUGCUCAGACAUGUUCUCACACAGCCAGAUCCUCUGACUGGUGGAGAAGGACCGUACUUCCAACCACUUCAGUCAGACUCUGCUCGGCAUGAAGUUUAUGAUCAACAUUUUUUAGCUCUGAUCUGAAUACAGGAAGAGUAAACUGCCGUCACUGCGUUCGACUGCUCUAGAGGCGAUCCUUCUUGUUUAAUUGAAGACGGCGAGGACUGAGGUCAUCAUUUUGUUUUAUUUAACAGCCAAAGUCUCCAGUCAGCUCCCUCAGGUUCAGGAUUAAGCUCCCCUCGCAGCAUUUUGGGACGAGAUCUGGGCGCCUUUGCAUUCUUCCCGUGGAAUCAAAUCAUACAGAUGGUACAUUCAUUCUUCAAGGCUGCUGCCUCUCCUUAAAAAAUCAGCUCUGUCUAAAGAACAGUUGCCAUACCAACAGUGCAUUUCAUAAACCAGCCUUCAGUGUGAAAAAGCUGAUAAGUGACUACAACAACCAAGACAAGAUGGUGUUUGUUUGAAAAAAACAUGUAAUAGACUACGAGGUAUGUCAUGUUCAUCGGAGGGCAAACAGGUCUGUAAUACUCUCACUGCUGUUUUGUUUCUGCAAAGAAGCAAAGCUAUGUAAUCAAUGAAGCACUUAAGAGCACAAUCACAUGGCUCUCUUUCCAUUGUGUGUUCACAAGGAUGGAGAUGUAAUUGACAUAAAUACUCUGAAAGUGGCAGCUGGGAUGUCUUUUGCCCUCCAUGCAGUGAGAAUGUCGUGUGAUCGCUGCAUGCUCACACUGUCGUCAGUAAACAUCAGAGGAGCUAACUUCCUACAUCACGUUUAUUUUAGGAAUGAAUCCAACAAACUGGAUAUCAGACGACAAGUUAAUAUCAGUGGAAGCUGCUGAUGAGCACGUGAGACAAAAAAGUUUUCUAGCUUCCAGUUUGUUCUUUCUGCAUCACGUGUCCCGCUCCACCUACACCCGCCUCCUCAGUCCUGGACGGCUCAUAAACUUUCCACUGGAGCAGCACUGACACAUUCACAACACACAACUUUAAUGAUUUAAAAAAUAAUAAUUACAAACAAUAUUUAUUCCUCCAGAUGAUUUUGCAACCAACUCACUCCUCAAGAGCUGGCCAGGCUCAGCCCCACCAAUCACAUGUUUUACCGCUAAAAGAUUAUUUUCAACAAUAUUUAAAUGGCGUGAGUGUGUCGGUUUUCACAUCACUUAUUUGAUUUAUUGUUAAGAUAAAAAUUCUGAC